GCAUGUGAUAGGAGCAGUGCAUGAUAUGAGGAUCGGAAUGUAGGCAAGCGGGACACUAGACGGAUGGAGAGAGAAAAUAACAGGGUUCAUGAUAUGAAGUCCCAGGGAACUGAGGAUAAUUGCCUGGGUGUUCCCACUCUAAUGAUAUUGGAGGCGAGGGACUCUUUGAAGAUCAGAUGGGUCAUUCGAGGACAACCUCCCCAUUCACUGUGAACGAAGGCAAGAUUACCUCGGAACAAGUGUGCACAAAAACAAGCCAUGCCCUGAAAUGCUCCCUUCACGUAGGGAGGGAAAGCGCGGCAGGGACUCUCAAACCACUCCUAUUACCAAGGCUUUUUAAAACAUGCAAGAUAAACUCUGCAGGGAAACAAAGUUUAAUACAAGUUGUCAAGUUUGUGCCGUCAUAGCAAAGUGCAGUCAGUGUUUCUGGGUGAUCAAGGAAAUAAAAAACAGUAAUUGAAAUUCAGAAAGUAAUUAAAUACGUCCAGAAAAGAAAACUUUGAAUAAAUGGAGAGACAGUAUAUUAUAAUUAAAGGUAUAUUACACAAAUAUUUUGAAAUAGUGUCAAUUACAGUUUUUGUUUUUUUUGGAAAUUGUUAUUGAUGUUUUGUAAUGUAAUGUAAUCAGAAGUCAGAGAAUUGCAUUAUUUAAGUGUUAUUUUUUGGUAAUGCCAAGUCCCAUGAUUAGUUAUGAUGUGAACAGUGUGGGGCGAUACUGGGGUGAUACAGUAUAUAAUUUUCCUAUGGCAG
This is a long non-coding RNA of Pseudophryne corroboree (corroboree frog), 749 nucleotides long. RefSeq lists it as uncharacterized. The transcript is spliced from 3 exons. The record is from RefSeq and is a predicted model, not a curated record. NCBI's taxonomy places the organism in Eukaryota, Metazoa, Chordata, Amphibia, Anura, Myobatrachidae.